UCCUCCUCUUGUUUGAGAUGUCAUAGACUCCUCCCUCAGCUUCUGUGUGUUCUCCUCGAGUACCACGGACCUGAAGGUUGUAUCGUGCAGCAACUUCCUCAAGUUUUGCCUUGUUGGCAGCCAGCUUGGGCACCUUAAUAUGGACUGAUGCCCGGACAGUGGUUCCAAGAUUGGUUGGACAGAAGGUGAGAAAUCCAAGCCUGUCGUCGUGAGAAAAUGGAACCCUCUUCUCAAUCUCGUUCACAGCUGUGACCAAUCGCCUGUAGAUCUGUCCAAGAUCACCACCCAUCU
Molecule: unclassified non-coding RNA, 291 nt
Filed under: synthetic construct
Source: RNAcentral